RNAcentral lists this transfer RNA (84 nucleotides) under Candidatus Cloacimonadota bacterium. RNAcentral's name for it is "tRNA-Leu". It matches the Rfam family "tRNA". Rfam says of the family: Transfer RNA (tRNA) molecules are approximately 80 nucleotides in length. Lineage: Bacteria; Pseudomonadati; Candidatus Cloacimonadota. The record is from RNAcentral.
GCGGCGGUGGUGAAAUUGGUAGACACGCUAGCUUGAGGGGCUAGUGACCGUAUGGUCGUGGGGGUUCAAGUCCCUUCCGCCGCA